GACGAACGCUGGCGGCGUGCUUAACACAUGCAAGUCGAACGGAAAGGCCCUGCGUUUGUGGGGUGCUCGAGUGGCGAACGGGUGAGUAACACGUGAGUAACCUGCCCUUGACUUUGGGAUAACUUCAGGAAACUGGGGCUAAUACCGGAUAGGAGCUCCUGCUGCAUGGUGGGGGUUGGAAAGUUUCGGCGGUUGGGGCUGGACUGGCGGCUUAUCAGCUUGUUGGUGGGGUAGUGGCUUACCACGGCUUUGACGGGUAGCCGGCCUUAGAGGGUGACCGGCGACAAGGGGACUGCGAUACGGCCCAGACUCCUACGGGAGGCAGUGGUGGGGAAUAUGGCACAAUGGGCGGAAGCGUGAUGCAGCAACGUCGCGUGCGGGAUGCCGGCUUUCGGGUUGUAAACAGCUUUCGCCUGUGACGAAGCGUGAGUGACGGUAAUGGGUAAAGAAGCACCGGCUAACUACGUG
RNAcentral lists this ribosomal RNA (468 nucleotides) under uncultured bacterium. RNAcentral's name for it is "partial 16S ribosomal RNA". It matches the Rfam family "Bacterial small subunit ribosomal RNA", at positions 28 to 507 of the family's 1533-position model. The record is from RNAcentral.